This 1180-nucleotide long non-coding RNA is filed under the name Brassica napus (rape). RNAcentral describes it as "long non-coding RNA (BNAP_LNC026362)". Lineage: Eukaryota; Viridiplantae; Streptophyta; Magnoliopsida; Brassicales; Brassicaceae. The record is from RNAcentral.
AUUAUUCGGUUAGCUUUUUCUGACAACAACAAAAUUAUGUCUUAUUGGGAUCCAUUAUCUUCUUUCUUAUCUUCUUUUCCCUGAAAUCUUGUUCUUCCUUUUUUUCAUGAGCUUAACUUUUCAAAAAUGAUUGCUUCCCAGAUUUAAUUUUAGUUUAAUUGGAUAUUUAUUGUUAAAGAGAAUAAGAAGGAGAAAAGAGCAUGGAGGUUGUUCAACGAUCGAGUUAGAGAGAGAGUUCCGACGCGAGUCAGGUGAAGCUCGUCACAGUGGAGAGUCUUACUAGAGCAGGUGGAGCCCGGUGGCUAUAAUUUGAUCAGACGAGGAGCUUGAGGCGGACGAUUCGGCCGGAGAGUUUUCCUAAAGGUAGUGAAGAUAAUCCGGUGGAUUUUGACGAAGCUCGGGUUCAGUGUCUGUUGCUACAGCUGUUUAUCCGCAGGACACUGGUGCUCUGCUCGCCGCUUCGCCGUCAUCUCCUCUGGUCGCGACUCGCCGUGAUGAGCAUCAUCAUCAUCAUCAUCUGCUCCGAGCUCGGCGUUGCGGCAAAGCUCCAACCGCGAGCUCAAACCUGCUGUGCCCUCAGUCUCGAUUCAUCUUCGUCUUCAGGAUCCCAGGAUUGACAUGACCACCGCAACUCGCAGCCCCGACGAGCUCCACCGCCGCAGUCUCCUUUCUUCUCCACGGGUCUUCUCUUCCUCCGUGUCUCAAGUCCGGCUUGAAGCUUCAACGUCAUGCCCUCAGACUCUCUUCUGCGGUGUCUCAAGAGGUCUUCACUCUCUGUGACCUCCGGUGGACCGUAAAGCGAAGCCGCCGUUGCAUCCGAGAUCGCCAGCGCCAUUGUUGAACCUUGAGAUUAAGUUUGGUUAAUUUUCACUUUUGGUCCUUGUAAUUUUAAUUGUUUCUACUGUUGCCUCAAAAUUCCUAGAGUUUCACAAAAGUCCUCUCGAACCGCUGGUCUCCUUGAGAUGGUUAUCAGAAAACGUACAUUGAAUUCAUUGUUUUAAGGUUUCUUAGGGAUUUUUUUUGGAUGGUUUUAUCUUGAGUAUAGACAUGGUAGUUUGUUCAUGGACAAGAGUCAGAAUUAAGUUUUCAUUUCUUUAUAUUAGAAAAUUAUAUGCAUGUUGAUUUUUAUCUAGUAUUCUUUUUAUUUUCGUUUUCAUAAUAUUCGUUUAUAUAACCUUAC